AGGAUGACUCAGGGUUAAACUGUCAACCCUGAUCAGAUCAUCCGAAUCGUGCUCAACUCAAACAGUCCUGUGACUCCUCACAAGGACUAUCCUGGCCAAGGUUUUGCUAAAUUGAAAUAUAACUGCACACAGCUCCUAAACUGGAGUGGUUAAUCCCAUCUUGACACACGCACCGACAAGUCAAGUACUUGACUACACCCAGCAGCCUUCCGUCACUGAAUUAGAAAUUCAGGUAGUCCAGUGCCU
This 246-nucleotide long non-coding RNA is filed under the name Elaeis guineensis (African oil palm). Its description in RNAcentral is "long non-coding RNA (EGUI_LNC060667)". Lineage: Eukaryota; Viridiplantae; Streptophyta; Magnoliopsida; Arecales; Arecaceae. The record is from RNAcentral.